RNAcentral lists this ribosomal RNA (507 nucleotides) under uncultured bacterium. Its description in RNAcentral is "partial 16S ribosomal RNA". It matches the Rfam family "Bacterial small subunit ribosomal RNA", at positions 28 to 507 of the family's 1533-position model. The record is from RNAcentral.
GAUGAACGCUGGCGGCGUGCUUAAUACAUGCAAGUCGAACGGUGAAGGGGUCUGCUUUCGUGGGCGCUGGAUGAGUGGCGAACGUGUGAGUAACACGUGAGUACCCUGCCUAAUUCUUGUGGAUAUCCGCAUGAAAGGGUGGCUAAUACGGGAACUUCUGGGUCUGUCGCAUGCAGGGUCUGGGGACGAUCGUGCCUUUGGGUGUUGUUGGUGGGGGAUGGGAUUGCGGCGUAGGCGAUUGAUGGGAAGGUGACGGCAUAGCAAGGCAACGACGGGUAGCGGACCUGAGAGGGUGAUCGGCAACACUGGAAUGGAGACACGGUCCAGACUACUACGGGAGGCAGCAGUAGGGAAUCUUCCGCAAUGGGCGAAAGCCUGACGGAGCAACGCCGCGUGAGGGAAGAAGGUCUUGGGAUCGUAAAACUCUGUUAUUAGGGAAGAACAACAGUGUAAGUACCUAUGCACGUCUUGACGGUACCUAAUCAGAAAGCCACGGCUAACUACGCG